UUGGUUGCACAUGACCUCUUGAAUUUUCUUUGUCCUGACCUGCAAGCUGCAAGGUAACUUCUUGCCAGGUCUGUUGUGAUGAGUGCCAUAUUUGGGUUCAUGUUGAAUGUGACCUGACAUGCAACAACUUGGAGGUUAUUUCGUCACCUUGUUCUUAUGCUGAUACUUAAUGUCCUUACUGCUUGAUAUGCAAUUAUUCUACGAAUAUCCUUC
RNAcentral lists this long non-coding RNA (213 nucleotides) under Setaria italica (foxtail millet). RNAcentral's name for it is "long non-coding RNA (SITA_LNC002884)". The record is from RNAcentral. Lineage: Eukaryota; Viridiplantae; Streptophyta; Magnoliopsida; Poales; Poaceae.